CCUGCCGCCGGACGGAACAGGCAGCGAGGGUUGGGGAACCCGAUGAGCUGUCCAGACCGAGAGGGCACGGGUCCUAGGGAGCCCGGGUUCCUCGCUCUGGCGAAGGAG
Actinomyces radicidentis is the source of this 108-nucleotide non-coding RNA. The record is from Rfam. Lineage: Bacteria; Bacillati; Actinomycetota; Actinomycetes; Actinomycetales; Actinomycetaceae.